GUACCGUGAGGGAAAGGUGAAAAGAACCCCGAGAGGGGAGUGAAAAGAACAUGAAACCCUGUGCCUACAGUGAGUAGAAGGGCCGUGAUGUGUGGCCUGACUGCGUGCCUGUUGAAGAAUGAGCCGGUGAGUCAUGGUGCCUGGCUAAGGUUAAGGCAUAAAAGUCGGAGCCGGAGUGUAAGCGAGCCUUGCUGGCGAUUUGGUCAGCCACCAUGAACCCGAACCCGGAUGAUCUAACCAUGCCCAGGGUGAAGCUUAAGUAAUAUUAGGCGGAGGCCCGAACCGGUUGAUGCGGCAAAAUCAUCGGACGAGGUGUGGUUAGGGGUGAAAUGCCAAACGAAUCCGGAGCUAGCUGGUUCUCCCCGAAAUGUGUUGAGGCACAGCCACCCAUGAAGAAGCUGGGGGUAAAGCACUGUUUCGGUGCGGGCCGGCCUAGCCGGUACCAAAUCGAGGCAAACUCUGAAUACCAGUCUUUUCAAGCAUGGGAUGAGUCAGGCGUUGGGGGAUAAGCUCCAGUGCCGAGAGGGCAACAGCCCAGACCACCAGCUAAGGCCCCUAAAUGAUCGCUCAGUGUAAAAGGUGGUGGGGACGCAAGGACAGCCAGAAGGUUGGCUUAGAAGCAGCCAUCCUUUAAAGAGUGCGUAA
Molecule: ribosomal RNA, 645 nt
Filed under: uncultured alveolate
Lineage: Eukaryota
Description: partial Bacterial large subunit ribosomal RNA
Rfam family: Bacterial large subunit ribosomal RNA
Source: RNAcentral